Molecule: long non-coding RNA, 697 nt
Filed under: Homo sapiens (human)
Lineage: Eukaryota; Metazoa; Chordata; Mammalia; Primates; Hominidae
Description: non-protein coding lnc-CTRB1-1:4
Source: RNAcentral
CGACUGGCCUUGAAGUUUGGCCUCAAGUGAUCCUCCUGCCUCAGCCUCCCAAAGUGCUAGGAUUACACAGCCCUCGCCCCUCGGGUCCCUUCUGCCCUUGUGGGAGUUGCCAGUCCUCCUAUCCUCCCAGUACAAAGCUGGCUUCCACUUCUGCGGGGGCUACCACAUCAGCGAGGACUGGGUGGUCACCGCUGCCCACCAGGGGUCAGGUGAGGCUUGAGCUUGAGGAGUUGGGGCCCACCAGGUGUCAGGGAAUGACACUCAUCCCCCUUCCCAACCCCAACUACACCCUGCAACCAACAGGAAAAGGGUCGGAAAUGAACUGCAGGCUGGGGAACCAGCACCCCCAUCCCCCGGCCACAGGCAGAGCCGCCUCUGCAGGUGACACCCACCCCAGGCCGUGCACCCCACCUCCACCCUCGCAGGCCACCCAGACGGCAGCUUGGGGAAACCUGGGAGGUCCCGUACCCUCACUGUGCAGGCACCCCCAUGAGCCCAGGCACCGCCUGCCACCCUCACUCUCCAGGAAGAGCCACCGCGUGGUGGCCGGGAUCGUGUGGUGGCCAGGGCGUCUGACCUUGGCUCUCACCCGGAGGCCAUCCAGGUGCUGAGGAUGGCUAACGCUAAGGCCACACAGCCAGGGAGAGGAGGUGGCUCGUGACACCACGAUGGGACACACCCACCUCUGGGAGAGGAG